AUACGUAGGUGGCAAGCGUUGUCCGGAUUUACUGGGCGUAAAGGAUGUGUAGGCGGAUAUUUAAGUGAGAUGUGAAAUCCCCGGGCUUAACUUGGGGGCUGCAUUUCAAACUGGAUAUCUAGAGUGCAGGAGAGGAGAAUGGAAUUCCUAGUGUAGCGGUGAAAUGCGUAGAGAUUAGGAAGAACACCAGUGGCGAAGGCGAUUCUCUGGACUGUAACUGACACUGAGGCAUGAAAGCGUGGGGAGC
RNAcentral lists this ribosomal RNA (247 nucleotides) under uncultured bacterium. RNAcentral's name for it is "partial 16S ribosomal RNA". It matches the Rfam family "Bacterial small subunit ribosomal RNA", at positions 523 to 769 of the family's 1533-position model. The record is from RNAcentral.